Molecule: ribosomal RNA, 460 nt
Filed under: uncultured bacterium
Lineage: Bacteria
Description: partial 16S ribosomal RNA
Rfam family: Bacterial small subunit ribosomal RNA
Source: RNAcentral
CCUACGGGAGGCAGCAGUGAGGAAUAUUGGUCAAUGGACGAGAGUCUGAACCAGCCAAGUAGCGUGAAGGAUGACUGCCCUACGGGUUGUAAACUUUUUUUAUAUGGGAAUAAAAUGAUCCACGUGUGUGUUUUUGUAUGUACUAUAUGAAUAAGGAUCGGCUAACUCCGUGCCAGCAGCCGCGGUAAUCAGGAGGAUCCGAGCGUUAUCCGGAUUUAUUGGGUUUAAAGGGAGCGUAGGUGGAUUGUUAAGUCAGUUGUGAAAGUUUGCGGCUCAACCGUAAAAUUGCAGUUGAUACUGGCAGUCUUGAGUACAGUAGAGGUGGGCGGAAUGCGUGGUGUAGCGGUGAAAUGCUUAGAUAUCACGAAGAACUCCGAUUGCGAAGGCAGCUCACUGGACUGCAACUGACACUGAGGCUCGAAAGUGUGGGUAUCAAACAGGAUUAGAUACCCCUGUAGUC